This 154-nucleotide unclassified non-coding RNA is filed under the name air metagenome. RNAcentral describes it as "partial contains small subunit ribosomal RNA, internal transcribed spacer 1, and 5.8S ribosomal RNA". The stretch from base 1 to 46 matches the Rfam family "Eukaryotic small subunit ribosomal RNA", at positions 1786 to 1831 of the family's 1831-position model. The record is from RNAcentral.
AAGUCGUAACAAGGUUUCCGUAGGUGAACCUGCGGAAGGAUCAUCAAACUAGAUAAAAACUAGAUAAAAAGAAAAACUUUUUUUUGGGUGCUUUUUGAAAGCUUUAGACAUAAAAUAAAAGUACAAACUUUUAACCAUGGAUCUCUAGGCUCUU